GCUAGCAUAGUAUAGUGAUCUGAGCAUUGGAUUAUGGCUCCAGAGGCCAAGGUUCAAGUCCCUGCUUAGCC
Molecule: non-coding RNA, 71 nt
Organism: Phrynosoma platyrhinos (Desert horned lizard)
Lineage: Eukaryota; Metazoa; Chordata; Lepidosauria; Squamata; Phrynosomatidae
Source: the annotation of a GenBank genome assembly